AUACGGAGGAUCCGAGCGUUAUCCGGAUUUAUUGGGUUUAAAGGGUGCGUAGGUGGUUUGAUAAGUCAGCGGUGAAAGUUUGCAGCUUAACUGUAAAAAUGCCGUUGAAACUGUCGGACUUGAGUGUAAAUGAGGUAGGCGGAAUGCGUGGUGUAGCGGUGAAAUGCAUAGAUAUCACGCAGAACUCCGAUUGCGAAGGCAGCUUACUAAGCUACAACUGACACUGAAGCACGAAAGCGUGGGGAUCAAACAGGAUUAGAUACCCUGGUAGUCCACGCAGUAAACGAUGAUUGCUAGCUGUUUGCGAUACACAGUAAGCGGCACAGCGAAAGCGUUAAGUAAUCCACCUGGGGAGUACGCCGGCAACGGUGAAACUCAAAGGAAUUGACGGGG
RNAcentral lists this ribosomal RNA (393 nucleotides) under uncultured bacterium. RNAcentral's name for it is "partial 16S ribosomal RNA". It matches the Rfam family "Bacterial small subunit ribosomal RNA", at positions 523 to 918 of the family's 1533-position model. The record is from RNAcentral.